AUGGUGGAGGAACCAUCUGCCAAGCGUCCCCGUGGUGAGACGUCCGACCAGAGCACCGAGGUCGAUGAUGUUCAGGUCCCCGAUCAGAAGCACGACUACAAAAGGCACCUCAAGGAGGUUGACAUCCACGGCAAGGAAAAGGUGGAUGUCGUAUGCACUAGCAAUCCUGACGAAGCUGACAAGAUGAUCAGCAGGGUCCUGAAGAGGGUCUGCGGCUUGUACCCUCAGUACAUCGGCGUUGAUGUCGAGUAUACCAGGGAAGACGAACCACCGCAGAGGGUAGCGGUUCUGCAGUUAUGCGUGGAGGAACUCUGUCUGGUAUACCACAUCACCGCGACAACAAAAUGGACCAAGAGCAUGCGCCCGUUCCUGAAGGAGGACUGGUUCUACACCUUUGUCGGCUUCAGUAUUGGAGGUGACAGAGAGAUGCUGCGAAGAUCUGGUUUGGAGAUCAACCCUGACAAGUACAUCAACAUCCAGCGCAAAUGGAGAGUUCCGUUCAAGGGAAGAAAGAGGUGCCACUCUUUGGCUGAUGUUGCAGGGAGGGUGAUCCACCCAUUCUACAAAUAG
This 570-nucleotide ribosomal RNA is filed under the name Triticum aestivum (bread wheat). Its description in RNAcentral is "partial small subunit ribosomal RNA". The record is from RNAcentral. Lineage: Eukaryota; Viridiplantae; Streptophyta; Magnoliopsida; Poales; Poaceae.